AUGGCCGCCUUGCCGCAGCUGUUGCUGACCCUCUUCCCCGCGGUGACCGCCGUCGUGUUUCUGCUGGUGGCCUCGGCGCCGGGAGCACGCGCUCACGUGUCCUCAUCCUCGUCGGCGACGUACCGCUGCGGCUGGUGCCCGCGCAGAUCCACCGCGUCCAUCCUCCCUCCCGGCGCCGGUGCACUUACCGGCCCCGCCUGCGGGUAUGGUGGCCAGGCGGCGGAGAUGGCCGUCGACGGGGGGUUCCACAUUGCGGCCGUCAGCGCCGGUUUCUUCCGCGGCGGCCGGGCCUGCGGCGCAUGCUACCAGCUGAGGUGCAGGGGCCGGAGCGCGUGCGCGAAGGAUGGCGUCAAGGUCGUCGUCGUCGCCGACGUGGCAGAGACGAACAUGACCGGUGGGAAGUUUCUGCUCACCAAGGACGCCUUCGCCGCCUUGGCGACGGCAGACCGUGCCGCCGAGCUCGCGGACGCGGCCGUCGACGUGGACUUCAGGAGGAUUCCCUGCGUGUACAAGAGCAAGAACCUGGCGGUUAAAGUGGAGGAGACGAGCAGCAGGGAGCGGGGCUACCUCGCCCUCCGCUUCCUCUACCAGGGCGGCCAGACUGACAUCGCCGCCGUCGAGGUCGCGCAGGCGGUCACCGGUUCGAGCGGCACCAAGAACGAGGCCUCGCCGUCGCAGACAACGUGGCAGUACAUGACGCGGCGCGAGGCGUCCCCGUCAGUGUGGCGCAUGUCGCGCGUGCCGACCGGUCCGCUGCGGCUCCGGCUCGUGGUCACCGCGGGCUCUGGCGGCAAGUGGCUGCGCGCCGACGGGGCGGUGCUCCCCGCGGAGUGGCAGCCCGGCGCGGUCUACGACACCGGCCUGCGCGUCACCGACGUCGCCGCAAACACCUGCGGCGCCGCCUCUUGCUCCGCCACGGACGAGGACGAUGACGCCGAGCAGCUCCGAUGA
RNAcentral lists this ribosomal RNA (951 nucleotides) under Triticum aestivum (bread wheat). RNAcentral describes it as "partial small subunit ribosomal RNA". Lineage: Eukaryota; Viridiplantae; Streptophyta; Magnoliopsida; Poales; Poaceae. The record is from RNAcentral.